GCGGGUUUAGCUCAGUUGGGAGAGCGUCAGACGUAGGCGUCCCAGUACUAAAUGUUGACUCCUCGUACUAAUACGAAUUAUAGUGAAGUAAACUUCAAGUUCCAUAUCUGAAGGUCAUGUGUUCGAUCCACAUAAACCGCA
This is a non-coding RNA of Thozetella sp. PMI_491, 141 nucleotides long. Lineage: Eukaryota; Fungi; Ascomycota; Sordariomycetes; Chaetosphaeriales; Chaetosphaeriaceae. The record is from the annotation of a GenBank genome assembly.